ACAAUGGAGAGUUUGAUCCUGGCUCAGGAUGAACGCUAGCUACAGGCUUAACACAUGCAAGUCGAGGGGAAACGACAUCGAAAGCUUGCUUUUGAUGGGCGUCGACCGGCGCACGGGUGAGUAACGCGUAUCCAACCUGCCCACCACUUGGGGAUAACCUUGCGAAAGUAAGACUAAUACCCAAUGAUAUCUCUAGAAGACAUCUGAAAGAGAUUAAAGAUUUAUCGGUGAUGGAUGGGGAUGCGUCUGAUUAGCUUGUUGGCGGGGUAACGGCCCACCAAGGCAACGAUCAGUAGGGGUUCUGAGAGGAAGGUCCCCCACAUUGGAACUGAGACACGGUCCAAACUCCUACGGGAGGCAGCAGUGAGGAAUAUUGGUCAAUGGACGAGAGUCUGAACCAGCCAAGUAGCGUGCAGGAAGACGGCCCUAUGGGUUGUAAACUGCUUUUAUAAGGGAAUAAAGUGAGUCUCGUGAGACUUUUUGCAUGUACCUUAUGAAUAAGGACCGGCUAAUUCCGUGCCAGCAGCCGCGGUAAUACGGAAGGUCCGGGCGUUAUCCGGAUUUAUUGGGUUUAAAGGGAGCGUAGGCCGGAGAUUAAGCGUGUUGUGAAAUGUAGAUGCUCAACAUCUGAACUGCAGCGCGAACUGGUUUCCUUGAGUACGCACAAAGUGGGCGGAAUUCGUGGUGUAGCGGUGAAAUGCUUAGAUAUCACGAAGAACUCCGAUUGCGAAGGCAGCUCACUGGAGCGCAACUGACGCUGAAGCUCGAAAGUGCGGGUAUCGAACAGGAUUAGAUACCCUGGUAGUCCGCACGGUAAACGAUGGAUGCCCGCUGUUGGUCUGAAUAGGUCAGCGGCCAAGCGAAAGCAUUAAGCAUCCCACCUGGGGAGUACGCCGGCAACGGUGAAACUCAAAGGAAUUGACGGGGGCCCGCACAAGCGGAGGAACAUGUGGUUUAAUUCGAUGAUACGCGAGGAACCUUACCCGGGCUUGAAUUGCAGAGGAAGGAUUUGGAGACAAUGACGCCCUUCGGGG
Molecule: ribosomal RNA, 1034 nt
Filed under: Segatella copri
Lineage: Bacteria; Pseudomonadati; Bacteroidota; Bacteroidia; Bacteroidales; Prevotellaceae
Description: bacterial SSU rRNA
Rfam family: Bacterial small subunit ribosomal RNA
Source: RNAcentral